UUAAGCAUAUCAAUAAGCGGAGGAAAAGAAACCAACAGGGAUUGCCUCAGUAACGGCGAGUGAAGCGGCAACAGCUCAAAUUUGAAAUCUGGCUCACGCCCGAGUUGUAAUUUGUAGAGGAUGUUUCGGGUGAAGCCGCGGUCCAAGUCCCUUGGAACAGGACGUCAUAGAGGGUGAGAACCCCGUACCUGGCCGCCGGUGCCCCCCGCUGUGAAACUCCUUCGACGAGUCGAGUUGUUUGGGAAUGCAGCUCUAAAUUGGUGGUAAAUUCCAUCUAAAGCUAAAUACCGGCCAGAGACCGAUAGCGCACAAGUAGAGUGAUCGAAAGAUGAAAAGCACUUUGAAAAGAGAGUUAAAAAGUACGUGAAAUUGUUGAAAGGGAAGCGCUUGCGGCCAGACUUGCCUGCGGUUGCUCAGCUCGCCUUUUGGCGGGUGCACUCUUCCGCAGUCAGGCCAGCAUCGGUUUGGGCGGUCGGAUAAAGGCGUUGGGAACGUGGCCUCCCCUCGGGGAGGUGUUAUAGCCCGGCGCGCAAUGCGACCAGCCUGGACCGAGGUUCGCGCUUUGCUAGGAUGCUGGCGUAAUGGCCGUAAGCGGCCCGUCUUGAAACACGGACCAAGGAGUCUAACAUCUAUGCGAGUGUUUGGGUGUCAAACCCGUGCGCGUAAUGAAAGUGAACGGAGGUGGGAACCGCAAGGUGCACCAUCGACCGAUCCUGAUGUCUUCGGAAGGAUUUGAGUAAGAGCAUAGCUGUUGGGACCCGAAAGAUGGUGAACUAUGCGUGAAUAGGGUGAAGCCAGAGGAAACUCUGGUGGAGGCUCGCAGCGGUUCUGACGUGCAAAUCGAUCGUCAAAUUUGCGUAUAGGGGCGAAAGACUAA
Molecule: ribosomal RNA, 877 nt
Filed under: Helicodendron coniferarum
Lineage: Eukaryota; Fungi; Ascomycota; Leotiomycetes; Helotiales; Helotiaceae
Description: LSU rRNA
Rfam family: Eukaryotic large subunit ribosomal RNA
Source: RNAcentral